AUUGAACGCUGGCGGCAGGCCUAACACAUGCAAGUCGAGCGGAUGAAGGGAGCUUGCUCCUGGAUUCAGCGGCGGACGGGUGAGUAAUGCCUAGGAAUCUGCCUUGUAGUGGGGGAUAACGUCCGGAAACGGGCGCUAAUACCGCAUCCGUCCUGAGGGAGAAAGUGGGGGAUCUUCGGACCUCACGCUAUCAGAUGAGCCUAGGCCGGAUUAGCUAGUUGGUGGGGUAAAGGCCUACCAAGGCGACGAUCCGUAACUGGUCUGAGAGGAUGAUCAGUCACACUGGAACUGAGACACGGUCCAGACUCCUACGGGAGGCAGCAGUGGGGAAUAUUGGACAAUGGGCGAAAGCCUGAUCCAGCCAUGCCGCGUGUGUGAAGAAGGUCUUCGGAUUGUAAAGCACUUUAAGUUGGGAGGAAGGGCAGUAAGUUAAUACCUUGCUGUUUUGACGUUACCAACAGAAUAAGCACCGGCUAACUUCGUG
This 484-nucleotide ribosomal RNA is filed under the name uncultured bacterium. RNAcentral describes it as "partial 16S ribosomal RNA". It matches the Rfam family "Bacterial small subunit ribosomal RNA", at positions 30 to 507 of the family's 1533-position model. The record is from RNAcentral.